RNAcentral lists this ribosomal RNA (497 nucleotides) under uncultured bacterium. RNAcentral's name for it is "partial 16S ribosomal RNA". It matches the Rfam family "Bacterial small subunit ribosomal RNA", at positions 28 to 507 of the family's 1533-position model. The record is from RNAcentral.
GAUGAACGCUGGCGGCGUGCCUAAUACAUGCAAGUCGAGCGAACAGACGAGGAGCUUGCUCCUCUGACGUUAGCGGCGGACGGGUGAGUAACACGUGGAUAACCUACCUAUAAGACUGGGAUAACUUCGGGAAACCGGAGCUAAUACCGGAUAAUAUAUUGAACCGCAUGGUUCAAUAGUGAAAGACGGUUUUGCUGUCACUUAUAGAUGGAUCCGCGCCGCAUUAGCUAGUUGGUAAGGUAACGGCUUACCAAGGCAACGAUGCGUAGCCGACCUGAGAGGGUGAUCGGCCACACGGGAACUGAGACACGGUCCAGACUCCUACGGGAGGCAGCAGUAGGGAAUGUUCCGCAAUGGGCGAAAGCUUGACGGAGCAACGCCGCGUGAGUGAUGAAGGUCUUCGGAUCGUAAAACUCUGUUAUGAGGGAAGAACAAAUGUGUAAGUAACUAUGCACGUCUUGACGGUACCUAAUCAGAAAGCCACGGCUAACUACGUG